Molecule: transfer RNA, 55 nt
Filed under: Stylonychia lemnae
Lineage: Eukaryota; Ciliophora; Spirotrichea; Sporadotrichida; Oxytrichidae
Rfam family: tRNA
About the family: Transfer RNA (tRNA) molecules are approximately 80 nucleotides in length.
Source: Rfam by way of RNAcentral
GGAGAGCGUCAGACUGAAGAUCUGAAGGUCCCUGGUUCAAUCCCGGGUCUAGGCA